AGCAGAGCAGAGCAGAGCAGAGCAGAGCAGAGCAGAGCGAAAAGGAAGUACUACUGUUUUCCCAGACUAAAAGCAGCCACUUUUAUAUUCCAUGCUACUCACCCUGACCCCCAGAUGAUAACCCAAGGACCACAAACCAGGUGGAAAUGCAGUUAAAUCUGAAUGACUACGCUUGCCCUCUGGCUAUCGGAUCUAUUCUCCAACCCCCAGCAAUGCAUCUCUGUUUGAAGAAGCACAGGCAGUAAUCUGGAGCAGGAAGAGUACAUCCCCAUUCUUU
This is a long non-coding RNA of Acipenser ruthenus (sterlet), 277 nucleotides long. RefSeq lists it as uncharacterized. The record is from RefSeq and is a predicted model, not a curated record. Lineage: Eukaryota; Metazoa; Chordata; Actinopteri; Acipenseriformes; Acipenseridae. The transcript has 3 exons.